This 512-nucleotide long non-coding RNA is filed under the name Papio anubis (olive baboon). RNAcentral's name for it is "lncRNA (ENSPANG00000047847.1)". Lineage: Eukaryota; Metazoa; Chordata; Mammalia; Primates; Cercopithecidae. The record is from RNAcentral.
AUUAUGUAUUACAUAUGCAAUCCAUCUACCUAAUAUAUAUUAGCUAGCUAAUAUUUUAUAUAUCUAUAUAUUAUCUCUCCUCUAUCCAAUCAAUGUCGCCAUGAAGGGCAGCACCCCAACCCACAAGGUGUGAUCUCUUUGCAGGUACUUCUGCUGAGCCUUCCAUGGGCCUUUCAUUAGUCUCUCAAGUUAGUUGCUUCUAAGGAAUAGAAUACACUUUAAAACUCAUGACUCCAGAGUCAUGAGCCUGUCGCUGCACUUCCUCUAGUUCUUUACUCUGAGGAAAUGUCAUGUGUACAAUGUUAGUAGAUCAGGCAUUUUGCAGGCCCUUAGAUGGUGGUGUUGGCAGAGAUAACACCUGCCGCUUUACUGUGGCAGGGGAGACAGAUCCUUCUCCAGAGUGUCAAUUCAGGAAACUCAUUGAAUGCACAUGCUUCUCAAACCUGGGCUUCCCUGGAGGUGCAGUAAAGCCUACAGAAAUCCAGAAGGGGCAAUCUCCAAGUCUUCAAUGA